UGUUCCUUUAGUAUCAAUUAGUACAAUUGACUUCCAAUCAAUUAGCCCUAGUACAAUUCUAGGAAGGAACAA
RNAcentral lists this transfer RNA (72 nucleotides) under Cephalopachus bancanus (Horsfield's tarsier). RNAcentral describes it as "tRNA-Gly". It matches the Rfam family "tRNA". Rfam says of the family: Transfer RNA (tRNA) molecules are approximately 80 nucleotides in length. Their secondary structure includes four short double-helical elements and three loops (D, anti-codon, and T loops). Further hydrogen bonds mediate the characteristic L-shaped molecular structure. tRNAs have two regions of fundamental functional importance: the anti-codon, which is responsible for specific mRNA codon recognition, and the 3' end, to which the tRNAs corresponding amino acid is attached (by aminoacyl-tRNA synthetases). tRNAs cope with the degeneracy of the genetic code in two manners: having more than one tRNA (with a specific anti-codon) for a particular amino acid; and 'wobble' base-pairing, i.e. permitting non-standard base-pairing at the 3rd anti-codon position. The record is from RNAcentral. Lineage: Eukaryota; Metazoa; Chordata; Mammalia; Primates; Tarsiidae.